RNAcentral lists this ribosomal RNA (2229 nucleotides) under human gut metagenome. RNAcentral describes it as "bacterial LSU rRNA". It matches the Rfam family "Bacterial large subunit ribosomal RNA", at positions 523 to 2757 of the family's 2925-position model. The record is from RNAcentral.
ACCCCGGGAGGGGAGUGAAAUAGAUCCUGAAACCGCAUACAUACAAACAGUAGGAGCCUCGUUAAGGGGUGACUGCGUACCUUUUGCAUAAUGGGUCAGCGACUUACGUUUAAUGGCGAGCUUAACCGUAUAGGGGAGGCGCAGCGAAAGCGAGUUCGAACAGAGCGUUCAGUCGUUAGGCGUAGACCCGAAACCAGAUGAUCUAUCCAUGGCCAGGUUGAAGGUGUGGUAACACACACUGGAGGACCGAACCGACUAGUGUUGCAAAAUUAGCGGAUGAGCUGUGGAUAGGGGUGAAAGGCUAAACAAAUCUGGAGAUAGCUGGUUCUCCCCGAAAACUAUUGAGGUAGUGCCUCGUGUAUGACUCCAGGGGGUAGAGCACUGUUAUGGCUAGGGGGACAUGGCGUCUUACCAAACCAUGGCAAACUCCGAAUACUUGGAAGUUUGAGCACGGGAGACAGAGCACCGGGUGCUAACGUCCGGACUCAAGAGGGAAACAACCCAGACCGCCGGCUAAGGUCCCUAAUAUUGACUAAGUGGAAAACGAAGUGGAAAGGCUAAGACAGUCAGGAAGUUGGCUUAGAAGCAGCCAUCCUUCAAAGAAAGCGUAAUAGCUCACUGAUCGAGUCUUUCUGCGCGGAAGAUGUAACGGGGCUAAGUCAAUAACCGAAGCCGCGGAUUCACACUUAUGUGUGAGUGGUAGGGGAGCGUUCUGUAAGCCUGCGAAGGUGACUCGUAAGGGUUGCUGGAGGUAUCAGAAGUGCGAAUGCUGACAUGAGUAACGUUAAAGCGGGUGAAAAGCCCGCUCGCCGUAAGCCCAAGGUUUCCUGCUCUACGUUCAUCGGAGCAGGGUGAGUCGGCCCCUAAGGUGAGGCUGAGAAGCGUAACUGAUGGGAACAAGGUUAAUAUUCCUUGACCACCGCUGAAUGCGAAGGGGGGACGGAGUAUUGAAGAUCAUCCGGGUGUUGGAUAUCCCGGUUUGCGAGCGUAGGAGGCUGACAGGCAAAUCCGUCAGCGAAUCUCCGAGGCAAAGCAUCGAGCUCUCUUUUGAGCGAAGUGAUUGGAUGUGCUUCCAGGAAAAGCCUCUAAGCUCCAGUUCAGCGGGACCGUACCGCAAACCGACACUGGUGGGCGAGCUGAAUAUGCUCAGGCGCUUGAGAGAACUCAGGAGAAGGAACUCGGCAAAUUGACACCGUAACUUCGGGAUAAGGUGUGCCUUUGUAGCGUGGAGGGAGAAACACCCCGAGCGCGAAGAGGUCUCAGAUAAUCGGUGGCUGCGACUGUUUAUUAAAAACACAGCACUCUGCAAAGACGAAAGUCGACGUAUAGGGUGUGAUGCCUGCCCGGUGCUGGAAGAUUAAUUGAUGGGGUGCAAGCUCCUGAUCGAAGUCCCAGUAAACGGCGGCCGUAACUAUAACGGUCCUAAGGUAGCGAAAUUCCUUGUCGGGCAAGUUCCGACCUGCACGAAUGGCAUAACGAUGGCCACACUGUCUCCUCCUGAGACUCAGUGAAGUUGAAGUGUUUGUGAUGAUGCAAUCUCCCCGCGGCUAGACGGAAAGACCCCAUGAACCUUUACUGUAGCUUUGCAUUGGACUUUGAACCGAUCUGUGUAGGAUAGGCGGGAGCCUGUGAAACCACAACGCCAGUUGUGGCGGAGGCGUCCUUGAAAUACCGCCCUGAUUUGUUUGAGGUUCUAACCUGGGACAGUCAUCCUGUCCGGGGACCGUGCAUGGUAGGCAGUUUGACUGGGGCGGUCUCCUCCUAAAGGGUAACGGAGGAGUGCGAAGGUACGCUAGGUACGGUCGGAAAUCGUGCUGAUAGUGCAAUGGCAAAAGCGUGCUUGACUGCGAGACCCACAAGUCGAGCAGAUACGAAAGUAGGUCAUAGUGAUCCGGUGGCUCUGUAUGGAAGGGCCAUCGCUCAACGGAUAAAAGGUACUCUGGGGAUAACAGGCUGAUACCGCCCAAGAGUUCAUAUCGACGGCGGUGUUUGGCACCUCGAUGUCGGCUCAUCUCAUCCUGGGGCUGUAGCCGGUCCCAAGGGUAUGGCUGUUCGCCAUUUAAAGAGGUACGUGAGCUGGGUUUAAAACGUCGUGAGACAGUUUUGUCCCUAUCUGCCGUGGGCGCUGGAAGAUUGACGGGGGCUGCUCCUAGUACGAGAGGACCGGAGUGGACUCACCUCUGGUGUACCGGUUGUCACGCCAGUGGCAUCGCCGGGUAGCUAUGUGGG